CACGUAGGGGGCGAGCGUUGUCCGGAUUUAUUGGGCGUAAAGAGCUUGUAGGCGGUUUGUCGCGUCUGCCGUGAAAAUCCGGGGCUCAACCCCGGACUUGCGGUGGGUACGGGCAGACUAGAGUGUGGUAGGGGAGACUGGAAUUCCUGGUGUAGCGGUGAAAUGCGCAGAUAUCAGGAGGAACACCGAUGGCGAAGGCAGGUCUCUGGGCCACUACUGACGCUGAGAAGCGAAAGCGUGGGGAGCGAACAGG
This 253-nucleotide ribosomal RNA is filed under the name uncultured bacterium. RNAcentral describes it as "partial 16S ribosomal RNA". It matches the Rfam family "Bacterial small subunit ribosomal RNA", at positions 524 to 776 of the family's 1533-position model. The record is from RNAcentral.